AAUGAACGCUGGCGGCGUGCCUAACACAUGCAAGUCGAACGAGAAACUCCGGGCUUGCUCGGAGGAGUAAAGUGGCGCACGGGUGAGUAACGCGUGGGUAACCUGCCCCAGAACCUGGGAUAACAUCGCGAAAGCGUUGCUAAUACCGGAUAUUGUCCCUUAAACUGUGGUUUUAGGGAUGAAAGAUGACCUCUCCGUGGAAGUUGUCGUUCAGGGAGGGGCCCGCGUACCAUUAGCUUGUUGGUGGGGUAAUGGCCUACCAAGGCUACGAUGGUUAGCUGGUCUGAGAGGAUGAUCAGCCACACUGGAACUGAAACACGGUCCAGACUCCUACGGGAGGCAGCAGUGAGGAAUUUUGCGCAAUGGGGGAAACCCUGACGCAGCAACGCCGUGUGAGUGAAGAAGGCCUUCGGGUCGUAAAGCUCUGUCAAGGGGGAAAAAAUCCUUUCGAUUAAUAGUCAGUAAGGACUGAUGGUACCCCUAGAGGAAGCACCGGCUAACUCCGUG
This 507-nucleotide ribosomal RNA is filed under the name uncultured bacterium. Its description in RNAcentral is "bacterial SSU rRNA". It matches the Rfam family "Bacterial small subunit ribosomal RNA", at positions 29 to 507 of the family's 1533-position model. The record is from RNAcentral.